AUUGAACGCUGGCGGCAUGCCUUACACAUGCAAGUCGAACGGCAGCACGGGAGCAAUCCUGGUGGCGAGUGGCGAACGGGUGAGUAAUAUAUCGGAACGUGCCCAGUCGUGGGGGAUAACGUAGCGAAAGCUACGCUAAUACCGCAUACGAUCUAUGGAUGAAAGCGGGGGAUCGCAAGACCUCGCGCGAUUGGAGCGGCCGAUAUCAGAUUAGGUAGUUGGUGAGGUAAAGGCUCACCAAGCCGACGAUCUGUAGCUGGUCUGAGAGGACGACCAGCCACACUGGGACUGAGACACGGCCCAGACUCCUACGGGAGGCAGCAGUGGGGAAUUUUGGACAAUGGGCGCAAGCCUGAUCCAGCAAUGCCGCGUGCAGGAUGAAGGCCUUCGGUUGUAACUAGCUUUGUACGGUAACGAAACGGUGAGGCUCUAAUACAGUUUGCUAAUGACGGUACCGUAAGAA
This 463-nucleotide ribosomal RNA is filed under the name uncultured bacterium. RNAcentral describes it as "bacterial SSU rRNA". It matches the Rfam family "Bacterial small subunit ribosomal RNA", at positions 30 to 487 of the family's 1533-position model. The record is from RNAcentral.